This 1341-nucleotide long non-coding RNA is filed under the name Betta splendens (Siamese fighting fish). Its description in RNAcentral is "lncRNA (ENSBSLG00000016410.1)". Lineage: Eukaryota; Metazoa; Chordata; Actinopteri; Anabantiformes; Osphronemidae. The record is from RNAcentral.
CUCCCACUUUCCCAUACUCAGAAGCACGCACACACUGAAGCGUCCCUCUCUUAUCUGUGGUCUGAAGAUCCCUGACUCCAGCCUGUGCAGACAGUCCUAUCUAACUGGGCCACAUCUCUAUAUACACAAGGAAGUCACCCACUCCUCAUGAAGAAAUGAAAUCUGCUUCAGACAUCCUGGCCCUGAGCUAGAAAAAAAUGAAAAACAUAGUAUGAAAGGGUAAUUCAGCUUGAGACUCGGCACACACAAGCCCUUGUUGGGGAAAAAAACGAUGUUUGGUUUUACGCAUUAGAACAAAUCCCUCUUAUUCUUUGGAGCUUGUUAAGGACAGUGUCUUUGUUGUGGUUUAUCGCGCCUUGGCCUCUGUCCCAGGCCAUUUAUCUCCCAAGCAUGACACAAGCAGUUGCAUUUCAUUCAGAUUUUUCCCCUGGAUGAACUGACUAAGUCUUUCUCUGUUCUUGUUCGUAGGAAGAGGCACUUCUGCUGCAGACAGUGUUGAGCCAGUACUGUGUUUGUCACUGGGAUCGACUGACUGAGAGGUUAGGCAGAGCAGACAGCGAAGGGCUGUAGGCAAGAACUGGGGGUGAAAGGUCACCGGGGAGCGAGUACGGCUGACCUCCACAGCACAAACUGCUCACUGGUGUUGACUUAACAUUGCUUGGACCUGGUUCUCGCCAUGCAUUUUAGCGGAACCCAGUUUUUACCACAGGAGUGUGUUCUGCAAGAUUCCCGGUAGUGGCCCGACGUGAGACCCAACACAGUGGGAGCUGUUGGACACUGAUACUCAGAGGAGAAUAUGCUGACUCAUCAACGCCACUGAGACACACGUUUGGGAUUCCUGGAAAGUGUCCGGUGUUUGGAUGUCAGUCGUUCCCAUCACAACAGGAGGUUUCGCAGUCUCCAGCGGAGCCAAAAUGAAGGUCCCUCUCUAUAUUUUGACCUUGUGGCUGCAAUGAGAAAGGGAGACGUGUCAGUAAAGCAGGAUGAGAAGCAGCCGGAGGAAGCUAUGCUGAGUCCUACGCCCGGACCCGUCCACUGCCUCUGGCGAGACAGAACCCACAGAGGCCUCACACAGAUAAGCGCGCGCAGACUUCAAUCAGACUCCACUAUAGGGGACAGGACGUCACAGGCCGCACGUCAAGGGUGGUGACAAGAGGUCGUAUGUGUGGGCAAGCUGCCCUCCACUACAGCAUGAGGCCUGAAUGGUGUUAUUGAGACAGUGGCCAUUUGGAUAAUGUACUGCAUACGACCAUCUUGCCCUCCAUGCAUCAUAUUGUGCACCAUGUUAACGCUGUGUGUAACACAUUAAAUUCAGCUGGACCUCAACAAGAAUGAAAAAAG